CAGUCGCCGCGGUAAUACGAAGGGGGCUAGCGUUGUUCGGAAUUACUGGGCGUAAAGGGCUCGCAGGCGGUUUCUUAAGACUGAUGUGAAAGCCCCCGGCUCAACCGGGGAGGGUCAUUGGAAACUGGGAAACUUGAGUGCAGAAGAGGAGAGUGGAAUUCCACGUGUAGCGGUGAAAUGCGUAGAGAUGUGGAGGAACACCAGUGGCGAAGGCGACUCUCUGGUCUGUAACUGACGCUGAGGAGCGAAAGCGUGGGGAGCGAACAGGAUUAGAUACCCCAGUAGUCCCUGUCUCUUAUAC
RNAcentral lists this ribosomal RNA (301 nucleotides) under uncultured bacterium. RNAcentral describes it as "partial 16S ribosomal RNA". It matches the Rfam family "Bacterial small subunit ribosomal RNA", at positions 509 to 807 of the family's 1533-position model. The record is from RNAcentral.